Drosophila biarmipes is the source of this 486-nucleotide long non-coding RNA. RefSeq lists it as uncharacterized. NCBI's taxonomy places the organism in Eukaryota, Metazoa, Arthropoda, Insecta, Diptera, Drosophilidae. The transcript has 3 exons. The record is from RefSeq and is a predicted model, not a curated record.
AUCGGUGACAAUCGCAUUCGCAUUCAGGUUCUCGCUGUCUGCGGCUGCGAGAAGCGAAAAGAGUAUUAACAAUUCGCACGAUAAAAUCUCCGGAGACGGCUGCCUGAGCGUAUCAAUUACACGCCUCAGUUUUUCAGCUCUCUGCUGCCUGACAGUGGCUCAACGGGUUCGUGGGGCAGACCAAAGAGGUCGGAACUAUACUGAGAAAAAUAGGGCGACUCAAGAGGACCACCCCAUAGUAAAAUCUCUUUAAAUGUCCGAUAUAUCAGUGUUCAUACGGACAGACUUACGGACGGACAAGCGGACAUGGCUAUAUUGAUACUGUUUAAGCAUAUAUACAAUUUAAAGGAUCGACAAUGAUUAUAUCUAAGAGUAACGAAUUUAUUAUACCGCUUUCUUUAAAUUAAGUUUUGUUAUGCAGAAAAUAUGGGAUAUUUUUCUCAGUGUCUACUCCGCCAGCGACAUUCAAACUCGCGCCCAUGCUUG